CUCAGUUCGGAUUGGAGUCUGCAACCCGACUCCAUGAAGCUGGAUUCGCUAGUAAUCGCGCAUCAGCCACGGCGCGGUGAAUACGUUCCCGGGCCUUGUACACACCGCCCGUCAAGCCAUGGAAGCCGGGGGUGCCUGAAGUGCGCUGCCGCAAGGAGCGUCCUAGGGUAAAACUGGUGACUGGGGCUAAGUCGUAACAAGGUACC
RNAcentral lists this ribosomal RNA (206 nucleotides) under uncultured bacterium. RNAcentral describes it as "partial 16S ribosomal RNA". It matches the Rfam family "Bacterial small subunit ribosomal RNA", at positions 1287 to 1500 of the family's 1533-position model. The record is from RNAcentral.